UGAGUAUAUGCUAUUGAAAACAUAAAGUAGCUAGUUCGUGCUUUCGAUUUUUUAGCCCUUAGAUCAAUCUCAUUGAUCAUUUCUAACCAUUGGAUUAACAUUAUUAAUCAAUGAGGACCACUCAACCCUAAGGGACCACUCAACCCUAAGGGGACCGCUAUCAUUCCAACCGUAGAAUUUAUGAUCCAAGGACUAAAAAAUCGGAAGCACCAACUACUUUAUACUUCCGAUAGUAUAGUAGCUCUACACUAUAUAUAUUUACUAAACAGUGGAAAACUCGAUAGCACCAAAUGUUUGGUGCUAUCAAUAAUAUCACAGCCGGACUCUCUCUCUCUCU
This 337-nucleotide long non-coding RNA is filed under the name Ananas comosus (pineapple). RNAcentral describes it as "long non-coding RNA (ACOM_LNC033699)". Lineage: Eukaryota; Viridiplantae; Streptophyta; Magnoliopsida; Poales; Bromeliaceae. The record is from RNAcentral.